Molecule: RNA transcript, 2955 nt
Organism: Brassica napus (rape)
Lineage: Eukaryota; Viridiplantae; Streptophyta; Magnoliopsida; Brassicales; Brassicaceae
Gene name: flowering time control protein FCA
Exons: 20
Source: RefSeq, a predicted model, not a curated record
UACGUUUCGCUUACUUCCAGCAAACCACCAUUGAUCUCUCCUCCAAUUCACAAAUCCAAUUUCUCUAGGGUUUGAUUUCUUCGACUUGAAUUGCAUUUCCAUCCGAAUUUCCCCAAAUUCGUCAAGCUGGAUAGGCACCGAGGGGAUCGCCACGAGAGUGGCGCUUACGACGAUUCCUACCGUAACCACCGAGCUCACCCUAGAGGUCCCCCUCGACUCUCAGAUUCACCCUCCAUGUCACGUUUCGGCGAGGAUGACGAAGGUUUCAGCCGCCGUCGUCGCCGUGGAAACAGCCCUAGCAAUUAUCAAGUUGGAAUUGGGGACAGAGGAGGUGGCGAUCGACGCUGGGAAGAUGACGGCCCCACGGAUCGUAAUUUUCACAGAGAAGGCGUUGGAGGAGGUUUCCGGCCGAUGAACGCUCCUCCAGGGAGAGUAGAUUUUCAGCCUAUGGGUUAUGGCUUCGACGGAGGUUUUCCGCCGAUGAGUCGCGACGGAGGAUUUCGGCCUAACGUGCCAGUGAAUUUUCCGCCAUCGGAAAGUCCAGAUGCAGGGGGAUAUUCCGGCGGCAGGGGAUUUCAAUCAACGGGGCCUGAUUACUCUGUGAGAUUGACUUCACCGCCGAUCCAGCAGCCUCUUUCUGGUCAGAAAAGAGGUCGUCCUCUCUCGGAGCAGAGUAGCUUUACUGGAACUGAUUUUACUGAUCGUAGCAGUAUGGUGAAGCUUUUUGUUGGCUCUGUACCAAGGACAGCUACAGAAGAAGAAGUCCGUCCCUUUUUCGAACAACACGGAAAUGUUCUUGAGGUUGCUUUUAUCAAGGACAAGAGAACAGGACAGCAGCAAGGCUGUUGUUUUGUAAAAUAUGCAACUUCUGAAGAUGCGGAUAGGGCCAUUAGAGCAUUGCACAAUCAGAUCACUCUUCCUGGGGGAACUGGCCUUGUUCAAGUUCGAUAUGCUGAUGGGGAGAGAGAACGCAUAGGUGCGGUAGAGUUUAAGCUUUUUGUUGGUUCCUUAAACAAGCAAGCCACUGAAAACGAGGUUGAGGAGCUCUUUUUGCAAUUUGGUCGCGUGGAGGAUGUCUAUCUCAUGCGUGAUGAAUAUAGACAGAGUCGUGGAUGCGGGUUUGUUAAAUAUUCAAGCAAAGAGACGGCCAUGGCAGCUAUCGAUGGUCUCAAUGGAACUUAUACCAUGAGAGGUUGCAAUCAGCCGUUGAUUGUUCGGUUUGCUGAUCCAAAGAGGCCUAAACCGGGCGAGUCAAGGGAAGUGGCACAUCCUGUUGGACUUUGUUCAGGGCCUCGUUUUCAAGCUUCAGGACCAAGGCCUACAUCUAACCUUGGUGACCUUAGUGUGGAUGUGAGCCACACAAAUCCUUGGCGUCCUAUGAAUUCACCAAACAUGGGGCCACCUGGUAACACUGGGAUCCGUGGUACCGGAAGUGACUUGGCUCCUAGGCCAGGUCAAGCCACAUUACCUUCAAAUCAGGGAGGUCCAUUGGGUGGUUAUGUUGUUCCUGCCAUUAACCCUCUACCAGUCUCAUCCUCUGCCACAUCGCAACAGCAAAACCGGGGAGCUGGCCAGCAUAUGUCACCAUUACAAAAACCUCUUCACAGUCCACAGGAUGUGCCCCUUCGACCACAAACUAAUUUCCCUGGGGCCCAAGCAUCCUUGCAGAAUCCUUAUGGUUAUAGCAGCCAGUUGCCUACUUCUCAGCUGCGGCCACAACAAAACGUCACUCCUGCAACAGCUCCUCAAGCUCCUUUGAACAUCAACCUACGGCCAACACCUGUAUCUUCUGCAACUGAUCAAUUGCGCCCUCGUGCUCAGCAGCCACCGCCACAAAAGAUGCAACAUCCUCCUUCUGAGCUAGUUCAGCUCUUGUCACAACAGACUCAGACUCUACAAGCAACCUUCCAAUCAUCUCAGCAAGCAUUUUCUCAACUGCAGCAGCAGGUGCAGUCCAUGCAGCAACCAAACCAAAAAUUACCAGGCUCACAGACUGGCCAUGGUAAACAGCAGUGGGCUGGAUCUGCAAUUCCGACAGUUGUUAGCACCACUGCUUCUACACCAGUUAGCUAUAUGCAAACAGCUGCACCUGCAGCAACUCAGAGUGUUGUUUCUCGCAAAUGUAACUGGACCGAGCAUACCUCGCCUGAUGGAUUUAAGUAUUAUUACAACGGUCAAACCGGUGAAAGCAAGUGGGAAAAACCUGAGGAAAUGGUAUUGUUCGAACGUCAGCAACAGCAGCCAACUAUAAAUCAGCCCCAGACCCAAUCACAGCAGGCUCUUUAUUCCCAGCCGAUGCAGCAACAACCACAACAGGUUCACCAGCAAUAUCAGGGCCAAUAUGUACAGCAGCCUAUUUAUUCUUCAGUGUAUCCAACUCCAGGGGUCAGCCAGAAUGCUCAGAUACAAACAUCUAAAUUUGAUCAUUUCAAAAUUUGAUCAUCGAGUUCCCUUUUCAAUGCAGUAUCCGCCGCCAUUGGGAGUUAGUCAAAAUAGCCAGUUUCCUAUGUCAGGCACCGGUCAAAAUGCUCAGGAAUUUGGGCGGACAGAUACACCAGUGGGGGUUGCUUCCAUCAAUAAUCCGUCACGAACUCAACAGGUACAUGAAAGGAGGAGCUGAAAUCUUUCAGUAACUAGACAUAGAAAGGUGUGGAACUAAUUAUUAGUCAAGCAGAGGAAAAGCAGCAACGGCAGUGUUCUUGGUCUCUGAGUUUUAGUUUACCCCUUCAGGUAUAAUAGAUAGGCAAUUCGCCUACCUGCUGAAUUCUAUCUUUUCUCUAAUCAGAGAUUUCUUCUUCUUUUUUAUUCCUAGAGUUGACAAUCAACACGUCUGUUGUAACAUAGAUAGCGCAAGUCAUGUCACAUGUAGUGUUAGUAUUAGUAUACAUUUAACUGGUAAAACAGAACUUUGAUCCAAACUUGGUAAGAGUAAUAUAAAUGCAUAUUCAGAUAUCA